GACGAACCGUGCGAACGUUUGUUCGGAUUCACUGGGCUUAAAGGGCGCGUAGGCGGGCGGUCAAGUCAGGGGUGAAAUCUUUCGGCUCAACCGGAAAAGUGCCUUUGAUACUGGCCGUCUCGAGGGAGGUAGGGGCAUGCGGAACUUCCGGUGGAGCGGUGAAAUGCGUAGAUAUCGGAAGGAACGCCGGGUGGCGAAAGCGGCGUGCUGGACCUCUUCUGACGCUGAGGCGCGAAAGCCAGGGGAGCAAAGCGGG
RNAcentral lists this ribosomal RNA (256 nucleotides) under uncultured bacterium. RNAcentral describes it as "partial 16S ribosomal RNA". It matches the Rfam family "Bacterial small subunit ribosomal RNA", at positions 524 to 777 of the family's 1533-position model. The record is from RNAcentral.